ACCAAAUCAUAAGCAAGAGAAGUAGCUAGGAAAGAAAAAAUCACAGAAAGUUUCGGUUGAUGAGAAGAAACAUUUUUUCCCUAGUGAAUGGACUUGUUGGAGCGUUCUUGAAAAGCAGUAGGGAACGACGGGAGCUCCCGUUACAGAGUGCGGUCGUUGUUGGACGAUUAGAGUUGCUGUUUGCGAACAGUAAAAAGAGGUGGUACCGUGCUAUUUGCGCCCUCAAA
This is a non-coding RNA of Enterococcus sp. 3H8_DIV0648, 227 nucleotides long. The record is from Rfam. NCBI's taxonomy places the organism in Bacteria, Bacillati, Bacillota, Bacilli, Lactobacillales, Enterococcaceae.